RNAcentral lists this ribosomal RNA (291 nucleotides) under uncultured bacterium. Its description in RNAcentral is "partial 16S ribosomal RNA". It matches the Rfam family "Bacterial small subunit ribosomal RNA", at positions 524 to 804 of the family's 1533-position model. The record is from RNAcentral.
UACGUAGAGUGCACGACGUGUCCGGAACUUAGGUUAGGGUCGGUAAGGGUACGCAGGCGGAUAGUAAAGUCAAGCGUGAAAGGUGUCGGCUUAACCGACAGACUGCGUUUGAAACUGAUUAUCUUGAGUGUAACAGAGGAGAGUGGGAAUUUCCUAGUGUAGUGGUGAAAAUACGUAGAUAUUAGGAAGAACACCAGUGGCGAAGGCGACUCUCUGGGUUAAACACUGACGCUGAGGUACGAAAGCUGGGGGGAGCAAACGGGAUUAGAUACCCGCGUAGUCCCUGAGACG